UACGUAGGGGGCAAGCGUUGUCCGGAAUCAUUGGGCGUAAAGGGCUCGUAGGUGGCCAACUAAGUCGGACGUGAAAUCCCUCAGCUUAACUGGGAACUGCGUCCGAUACUGGAUGGCUUGAGUUUGGGAGAGGAUGCGGAAUUCCAGGUGUAGCGGUGAAAUGCGUAGAUAUCUGGAGGACACCGGUGGCGAAGGCGGCAUCCUGGACCAACACUGACACUGAGGAGCGAAGCCAGGGAGCAA
RNAcentral lists this ribosomal RNA (243 nucleotides) under uncultured bacterium. Its description in RNAcentral is "partial 16S ribosomal RNA". It matches the Rfam family "Bacterial small subunit ribosomal RNA", at positions 524 to 771 of the family's 1533-position model. The record is from RNAcentral.